Molecule: ribosomal RNA, 400 nt
Filed under: phytoplankton environmental sample
Lineage: Eukaryota
Description: partial small subunit ribosomal RNA
Rfam family: Eukaryotic small subunit ribosomal RNA
Source: RNAcentral
AGCUCCAAUAGCGUAUAUUUAAGUUGUUGCAGUUAAAAAGCUCGUAGUUGGAUCUUGGGUCGUAAAGGUCGGUCCGCCUACUCGGUGUGCACCUGCCCUUCCGUCCCUUUUGUCGGCGGCGUGCUCCUGGCCUUAAUUGGCUGGGUCGCGGCUCCGGCGCUGUUACUUUGAAAAAAUUAGAGUGCUCAAAGCAAGCUUAUGCUCUGAAUACAUUAGCAUGGAAUAACGUGAUAGGAGUCUGGUCCUAUUGUGUUGGCCUUCGGGACUGGAGUAAUGAUUAAUAGGGACUGUCAGGGGCAUUCGUAUUUCAUUGUCAGAGGUGAAAUUCUUGGAUUUAUGAAAGACGGACCACUGCGAAAGCAUUUGCCAAGGAUGUUUUCAUUAAUCAAGAACGAAAGUA